GACUAUGGCCAUGCUACCCUGAACAAGCCUGAUCCCAUCUGAUCUUGGAAGCUAAGCAAGGUCAGGCCUGGUUUGUAGUUAGCUGAGAGACCACCUAGGAAGACCUGGUUCUGUAGUCA
Pteropus vampyrus (large flying fox) is the source of this 119-nucleotide ribosomal RNA. NCBI's taxonomy places the organism in Eukaryota, Metazoa, Chordata, Mammalia, Chiroptera, Pteropodidae. The record is from Ensembl.